Molecule: long non-coding RNA, 917 nt
Organism: Cornus florida
Lineage: Eukaryota; Viridiplantae; Streptophyta; Magnoliopsida; Cornales; Cornaceae
Exons: 3
Source: RefSeq, a predicted model, not a curated record
AAUUAAAAAAAAAAUACCAUAAAUUUUUCAAAUUGUAUAAAUAAAGACAUUUUGAAAACUGAAAAAUUAAAAAUAACUUUAAGACAAAAUAAAUUUAAAAAAAAAAACUAAUUUAAUAAAACAUUGAUUAUUAAAGAUAAGGAAGGAAUUUUAAUACGAAACAUUGAUUAUUAAAAGACUAUUUUAGAAUUUUACUAAUUUACAUAGUAAAACCAUUAGGUGGUAAAUUGGUAAUAAAAGGGAAAAAAUUUCAAUAGGAAAAAAGAUCCGACCUGCCGGAUUCGAACAAGCGACCUAAGGAUGUCUGAUAAUCACCAACUACAGUCCUUCGCUCUACCAACUGAGCUAAGGUCGGUUCUUGUUUGAAGCUAGAGCUCGGAAGAAUAAUCCCCAACCCAGAAUAACCCUAAUCCUUAUCGAUCCGAACAAGCUAGCUUUGGGGGCAAAGGUAGUACCGACUAUUUGGUGAGUGGUUCUGUUCUGAUCACAAGAAUGUCCAGGAGCUUAUUGAUCGAUGAAUUGAAGGGCAUAUGUCCAAGUUCAUAUCGUACUAUAUAUGGUGGAGCUACAUGACUUUUAAUGAAGGUAUGAGAGAAUUCAUUUCAAUAAUUUCCUGCAUUUGUUUUAGCUGUCAAGUCACACAUUUCUGGCAUAAAUUUCAAGAAAUCAGGUAUUUUAUUUAUUUGAUUUUAAAAUAUUUUAAUCGUAGUGUGGGGUUUGGCUAUGUUUGGUAUAAUUACCAAGUCGUAUUAAGUCUAUCUAUACAUUUUGUUCUGUAGACCUUGUACACCUUAUUGGGACAGUUGGUCCCGUGUUUGAACAAUUGUAGCCAGGCCUACUGGUUCUGUUUUAGUGGCGAAGUUUGUGUACUGUAGGCCCAUCUUUGUAUGUAAUGUCUUAUCGAUGUUAAUGAAAAA